GACAGCAGCAGCCGCGGUAAUACGUAGGUGGCAAGCGUUAUCCGGAAUUAUUGGGCGUAAAGCGCGCGCAGGCGGUUUCUUAAGUCUGAUGUGAAAGCCCACGGCUCAACCGUGGAGGGUCAUUGGAAACUGGGGAACUUGAGUGCAGAAGAGAAAAGCGGAAUUCCACGUGUAGCGGUGAAAUGCGUAGAGAUGUGGAGGAACACCAGUGGCGAAGGCGGCUUUUUGGUCUGUAACUGACGCUGAGGCGCGAAAGCGUGGGGAGCAAACAGGAUUAGAUACCCCUGUAGUCCCUGUCUCUUAUAC
RNAcentral lists this ribosomal RNA (306 nucleotides) under uncultured bacterium. Its description in RNAcentral is "partial 16S ribosomal RNA". It matches the Rfam family "Bacterial small subunit ribosomal RNA", at positions 507 to 807 of the family's 1533-position model. The record is from RNAcentral.